This 1399-nucleotide long non-coding RNA is filed under the name Numida meleagris (helmeted guineafowl). Its description in RNAcentral is "lncRNA (ENSNMEG00000003583.1)". The record is from RNAcentral. Lineage: Eukaryota; Metazoa; Chordata; Aves; Galliformes; Numididae.
CUGCCUUUGCAGCCUGAACUGUGUUUGUUGUUAUUUCUGGCAGGACUAAAGCCAUAGGGGCUUUAGAUGAGAGCAUUUAUGAUGUGCCAGAACAAGAAGGAGCUCCCAGGCUUCAGGUGUGGCCAACAACCUUCAGCUGCUAAAAUACAAAAUGCUGGAGAAGAAGGAGCAUUCCCUCCCAAAGGCCAAGAGGAAGCACCUGUGCCAGAGCCUUCCUGGGAGGUAGAGCUCCUGGGGGUUACAAGGACUUUCCUGACACCCCAGGCCCUUCCCCUACCUUUGCAUUGAUUCAUGGCUUCACUGGUGGGUGGGGUGAGUUGCAUUCUGAUGAAUCCGUUAAAUAUUGAUAGUAAGGCCGUGCAAAAUAUGACUUAGUGUGGAGUUGUAGUUCAGCAAUGGCAAUUUUGGACUCUUCCAACUGCAAAUGGAAUUAAUUGAGAUUGAACAGCAGGAGCUGCAGGCUCUUAUAGAAAUGACCAAUUCUUCUCCAGCUGUUUUUGCAUCCAUGUAAUGCCACAGAUUAAUGGAGAUAAUCUGGGUCAUACCUAUGCCAAUCUCACGACUUUGAUGGCAUCACACCACUGCAUGAGGAGAUUACAGGAAAAGAAUCAGGCUCAGAGGACUCAGAGAUUAUACAAACAUGCCUUGUGUUAAUCCUAAAUCCAUACUGCUAGUUGAAUCCCUAUGGAAAAGGGAAACCUUAAAAACUCAGCAGGUGGAGAGUAUCUGACAUAAUAACAUGCCCUGGCUGACAGGAACCCCAGCACCUCCAAGGAGUGGAAGAAGGGGCAAAUCCCAGAGCAGCGAGGAAGGCUUUGUGGGCUGCAAACCAACACUAACGUGGCUGAGUACUGGAGUGGGAUCAUCUGACAACAUCUGGGUGAUGGAAGGAAUCAGAACAAGUGAAAAUACAGCAAGAAGAGAGCACAGGAGGUUCCUGGCUCACAAGAGGGAUGUGCUCCCAGGAAGCAAAGCCAAUGGCACAGUCAGACCCAGACACAGCUGAGGAGAAGAGAAGCCUUUGGAGCAGCCCAGGUGUGGCUUUUUACAUCAAAAUCAGAACCCAAGAGAAACCCACCCCCAGCUAAGGCACUGCAAGCUCCUGUUUCUGUGUUGCCCCUGCAACAGCAAAGCAAGAAGGUAAGUCAGUGUUCCCCCAAGGAAAAGUGAUGGCAGAGGAACAAAACAUGGGCCAUAUCAUGGUAACGUGUUCUCCUUCCUGGUGGGAUAAGGGCUGCCAUUGAUGUAUUUCACUGCUUUCUGCAGCAGGGUGCUUUGGUGAGCACAUGCUGCUGUCCUGUGUGGGGCAAGCAAGUUUUGGGUGCAUCCAGAUGCUGGUGGCCCCACCAUCCUGGCUUCUCUCGUACUUGAAGCCUGGCUGGUGUAGCUAAUGGACACA